This 497-nucleotide ribosomal RNA is filed under the name uncultured bacterium. RNAcentral describes it as "partial 16S ribosomal RNA". It matches the Rfam family "Bacterial small subunit ribosomal RNA", at positions 28 to 507 of the family's 1533-position model. The record is from RNAcentral.
GAUGAACGCUGGCGGCGUGCCUAAUACAUGCAAGUCGAGCGAACGGACGAGAAGCUUGCUUCUCUGAUGUUAGCGGCGGACGGGUGAGUAACACGUGGAUAACCUACCUAUAAGACUGGGAUAACUUCGGGAAACCGUAGCUAAUACCGGAUAAUAUUUUGAACCGCAUGGUUCAAAAGUGAAAGACGGUCUUGCUGUCACCUAUAGAUGGAUCCGCGCUGCAUUAGCUAGUUGGUAAGGUAACGGCUUACCAAGGCAACGAUGCAUAGCCGACCUGAGAGGGUGAUCAGCCACACUGGAACUGAGACACGGUCCAGACUCCUACGGGAGGCAGCAGUAGGGAAUCUUCCGCAAUGGGCGAAAGCCUGACGGAGCAACGCCGCGUGAGUGAUGAAGGUCUUCGGAUCGUAAAACUCUGUUAUUAGGGAAGAACAUAUGUGUAAGUAACUGUGCACAUCUUGACGGUACCUAAUCAGAAAGCCACGGCUAACUACGUG